Molecule: long non-coding RNA, 405 nt
Organism: Perca flavescens (yellow perch)
Lineage: Eukaryota; Metazoa; Chordata; Actinopteri; Perciformes; Percidae
Exons: 3
Source: RefSeq, a predicted model, not a curated record
GCCAUCUGGAGUUUGUCUUAUGUUUUGGUGAAAAACAACUAGGGAUCGUUUCUCAGCAGUGCCCUCUUUAGCCUUUUGUUUACUGCUAUUUAGCUCUUUUUUUAGAUGUUUUUUUUAGCUAGUCUGGUAACUAGCUUGUUUCCACGUUUUUUCCACAUCAAAAAGCCCUCUGGAGUUUCACUUUUUAAUUCUUCUUGGUGCAAGCAACGCAGAUUAGUUUUUUCAUCGCUACCUACAAGUGCUACGUUGCUAGCUAAAACUUUCCCUCGUUUUCUCAACAAAGUCCUCUGAAGAAAGAGGAUUCGGUUCUACAGCAAUGGCUGCAUUUGUUUGCAUCAUUAGGUGAUCGUGCAAAGAGCUGGGAUAACGUGGCUGUGUUAGUUGACGAAACUAUUAAACCACAAG